Molecule: ribosomal RNA, 729 nt
Filed under: Callorhinchus milii (elephant shark)
Lineage: Eukaryota; Metazoa; Chordata; Chondrichthyes; Chimaeriformes; Callorhinchidae
Description: partial 12S ribosomal RNA
Rfam family: Bacterial small subunit ribosomal RNA
Source: RNAcentral
CUUUAGAAAUUAAGGAGCGGAUAUCAGGCUCGCCCCUGCAGCCCAAGACACCUUGCUCAGCCACGCCCCCACGGGACCUCAGCAGUGAUUAAUAUUAGUAAAUGAACGAAAGUUCGAUCCAGUUAUGGUUUUAAGGGCCGGUCAAUCUCGUGCCAGCUACCGCGGUUAUACGAGCGGCCCAAAUUAAUAAGAUUAACGGCGUAAAGAGUGUAUAAAGAUGUAAUCUUCCCCCUUUAAAGCUGAAAUACUGCCCAACUGUUAUACGUACUCGCACUAAUAAAAAACAAUUAUGAAAAUAGCUUUAUAUAAAUAAGAUAUCUCGUAUCACGAUAGCUAAAAACCAAACUGGGAUUAGAUACCCCACUAUGUUUAGCCUUAAACCUAGGUGUUUAAAUUACCACAACACCCGCCAGAGAACUACGAGCGCCAGCUUAAAACCCAAAGGACUUGGCGGUGCCUUAGACCCCCCUAGAGGAGCCUGUUCUAGAACCGAUAAUCCCCGUUUAACCUCACCACCCCUUGCUAUUACAGCCUAUAUACCGCCGUCGCCAGCUUGCCCUAUGAAGGAAAAACAGCAAGCAUAAAGAAUUACCUCCAAAACGUCAGGUCGAGGUGUAGCAUAUGGGAUGGGAAGAAAUGAGCUACAUUUUCUUUAAAGACUAACAGAUAAAUAAUGAAAUAAAUUUGAAGUUGGAUUUAGUAGUAAGAAUUAAAUAGUAUAUUAAUCUG